CUAUAUCUUGAUGCUGCUGAAAACAACAAGGCAUCAACUGCCUUCUCAUUUUUUCUGGAGGGUGUUAACAAACACGGAUGGCCUUCAAGAGUACGUGGUGACCAGGGAGUUGAAAAUGUGGAUAUUGCACGUUGCAUGUUCUCAGUGCGAGGAACUGGUCGAGGUAGCUUCAUUUCCGGAAAAAGUGUUCACAAUCAAAGAAUUGAGCGCCUGUGGCGUGAUGUUUGGUCAGCCGC
Non-coding RNA from Misgurnus anguillicaudatus (oriental weatherfish), 236 nucleotides. The record is from RefSeq and is a predicted model, not a curated record. Lineage: Eukaryota; Metazoa; Chordata; Actinopteri; Cypriniformes; Cobitidae.